UCGAGCGGACAGAUGGGAGCUUGCUCCCUGAUGUUAGCGGCGGACGGGUGAGUAACACGUGGGUAACCUGCCUGUAAGACUGGGAUAACUCCGGGAAACCGGGGCUAAUACCGGAUGCUUGAUUGAACCGCAUGGUUCAAUUAUAAAAGGUGGCUUUUAGCUACCACUUACAGAUGGACCCGCGGCGCAUUAGCUAGUUGGUGAGGUAACGGCUCACCAAGGCAACGAUGCGUAGCCGACCUGAGAGGGUGAUCGGCCACACUGGGACUGAGACACGGCCCAGACUCCUACGGGAGGCAGCAGUAGGGAAUCUUCCGCAAUGGACGAAAGUCUGACGGAGCAACGCCGCGUGAGUGAUGAAGGUUUUCGGAUCGUAAAACUCUGUUGUUAGGGAAGAACAAGUACCGUUCGAAUAGGGCGGUACCUUGACGGUACCUAACCAGAAAGCCACGGCUAACUACGUGCCAGCAGCCGCGGUAAUACGUAGGUGGCAAGCGUUGUCCGGAAUUAUUGGGCGUAAAGCGCGCGCAGGCGGUUUCUUAAGUCUGAUGUGAAAGCCCCCGGCUCAACCGGGGAGGGUCAUUGGAAACUGGG
RNAcentral lists this ribosomal RNA (594 nucleotides) under Bacillus sp. (in: firmicutes). RNAcentral's name for it is "bacterial SSU rRNA". It matches the Rfam family "Bacterial small subunit ribosomal RNA", at positions 62 to 637 of the family's 1533-position model. The record is from RNAcentral. Lineage: Bacteria; Bacillati; Bacillota; Bacilli; Caryophanales; Bacillaceae.